Molecule: ribosomal RNA, 258 nt
Filed under: uncultured bacterium
Lineage: Bacteria
Description: partial 16S ribosomal RNA
Rfam family: Bacterial small subunit ribosomal RNA
Source: RNAcentral
GACGAACCGUGCGAACGUUAUUCGGAAUCACUGGGCUUAAAGCGCGUGUAGGCGGGACGGCACGUCGGUCGCUGAAAGCCCCCCGGCUCAACCGGGGAACGGGCGCCGAUACGACCGCCCUGGAGGGACGUAGGGGGGACCUGGAACUUCCGGUGGAGCGGUGAAAUGCGUUGAGAUCGGAAGGAACGCCCGUGGCGAAAGCGAGGUCCUGGACGUUUUCUGACGCUGAGACGCGAAAGCCAGGGGGGAGCGAACGGG